RNAcentral lists this ribosomal RNA (267 nucleotides) under uncultured bacterium. RNAcentral's name for it is "partial 16S ribosomal RNA". It matches the Rfam family "Bacterial small subunit ribosomal RNA", at positions 84 to 354 of the family's 1533-position model. The record is from RNAcentral.
UUGGUAUCUUAGUGGCGGACGGGUGAGUAACGCGUGGGUAACCUGCCUUACACUGGGGGAUAACACUUAGAAAUAGGUGCUAAUACCGCAUAACAGGGAAAGAUGCAUGUCUUUCCUUGAAAAUCCGGUGGUGUAAGAUGGACCCGCGUCUGAUUAGCUGGUUGGCGGGGUAACGGCCCACCAAGGCGACGAUCAGUAGCCGGCCUGAGAGGGUGAACGGCCACAUUGGGACUGAGACACGGCCCAAACUCCUACGGGAGGCAGCAG